This 253-nucleotide ribosomal RNA is filed under the name uncultured bacterium. RNAcentral describes it as "partial 16S ribosomal RNA". It matches the Rfam family "Bacterial small subunit ribosomal RNA", at positions 524 to 776 of the family's 1533-position model. The record is from RNAcentral.
UACGUAGGGUGCAAGCGUUAAUCGGAAUUACUGGGCGUAAAGCGUGCGCAGGCGGUUAUGUAAGACAGGGGUGAAAUCCCCGGGCUUAACCUGGGAACUGCAUUUGUGACUGCAUAGCUAGAGUACGGUAGAGGGGGAUGGAAUUCCGCGUGUAGCAGUGAAAUGCGUAGAUAUCGGGAGGAACACCGGUGGCGAAGGCGGCCCCCUGGUUGGAUACUGACGCUGAGACGCGAAAGCGUGGGGAGCAAACAGG